UGUAUUCUCUAGCAAUAAUUCCUCCAAAAUCAACAUUGUCUGGCAGCAACACGAAAUGAUCUGGAUUUGUAUUCAGUACUAGUAGGCACCACAAUAACCCCAACUCUCUAUUGUUCCCGUUGCGGUCAACUAAGUGACAAAAAAAUCUAUUGUGUAGCAAAUAUAAUAAGAGAAAUUUCAAUGCAGUAUUAUAAAUGAGCAAGAAAAGGUCCCAGCAAAUCCUAGGGAUUUCUCGCAAUUUUAAGACUCCAAAGACCACAGUUGCAUGGGAUAUCCUACAUAAACAUUUACAAUAAUGACUUACUAUGGAUUUGUCAGUUUAUACACACCUCUAUUAUAAAAUCUUGAAUAUCAAUCCCUUUCUUCAAUUUGUGAAACAAUCCAAUUCCAACGACAUUAUCUUAGAUAGAAAGAGAAAGGCAGAGUCUUGACAAAGAAAACCUCCGUGUUAAUACCAUUCGGAUGCAUAAACAAGUAUAUCUAAAAGGGUUAAUAAAAAACAAAAUUCAAACAACUUACUUAACAAGAUAUGUAAAAUUUCUUUUCUGAGAUUUAUUCAGAGGAAUCCCUUCUUCUUUUGAGCACCUAAAUCAAGAGAUUGUCAUAUAUGCAAGUCAAGCAGACGAGAUAACAGGAAAUUCUUAACUCAUAGAGGAUAUACUAAUCAAACGUUUUAUAAUGCAAAAUGUUUUAGGAUUUCGUUGAAUAUACUCUGGCUUAUCUAAUAUCAAGGAUUUGUCAUUAGCAAAACCCGAUGGUCAAAGUAGUGUAACCCAAGUUUCAAGUUAAUAUCUUUUAGUAGCUAAGGGGAAAAGACAACUCCAUCAUAUUCUUCAUCGCAGUUUCAAGCAACUAAGAUGGUGCCUCUCUUCUUUAGGAUUGGCCGACAAAGAACAAGAAAUAUGAAAAAAGUAACUAAAUGACAAGGCACAUCAAAAUAAAGACAAGCUCCAAUCCCAAAUCCACAUUCCUUCCCUCACCAUGGAAGGAUACAAAAGACUAGGCAAGAUAAUGAAGAAGGGUGUGACUUAAAAUCUAGUGAGCAACUUCUUUCGAGUAAAAAUUCAAACAAAGACUACUGAAAAAGACAACUGCACUAAAGAUGGGUUCUAUAAUCUUCUAAAAACAUGACGCAAAAACCUUAGUUGUUUUCUUUUGAAUGCUACAACAUUUAGUCCUUUAGCUGUUGAUAACGAAUUUAACUGAAGUGAAUGAAAGGAUCCUACGUAACCAUUAAUGUAUAACCACAUAAAUAGCAAGACCACCAAUACUCUAUUAGCAAGAAAGCUACCCAAUGAGGAAAUAAAAUAAAUAAAUCCAAAUUAAUAUCCAGGGAGAUAAUGUGGCUCAUUGGAUAAUAAAGGUAAACUACUAA
Molecule: long non-coding RNA, 1375 nt
Filed under: Coffea arabica (coffee)
Lineage: Eukaryota; Viridiplantae; Streptophyta; Magnoliopsida; Gentianales; Rubiaceae
Description: long non-coding RNA (CARA_LNC006546)
Source: RNAcentral